RNAcentral lists this microRNA precursor (111 nucleotides) under Gorilla gorilla (western gorilla). The record is from RNAcentral. Lineage: Eukaryota; Metazoa; Chordata; Mammalia; Primates; Hominidae. RNAcentral also lists the same sequence under 1 other name.
CGUCGCCUGCCUGCUGUACCAGGGGUUGAUUCCUUCUUCCUGCGUGUUUUCUGUCCAAAUCCUUUUCUGAUUUGGACAGAAAACACGCAGGUGGCACACAGUAAGCGCUUA